UACGUAGGUGGCAAGCGUUGUCCGGAUUUAUUGGGCGUAAAGCGCGCGCAGGCGGUCCUUUAAGUCUGAUGUGAAAUCUUGCGGCUCAACCGCAGGCGGUCAUUGGAAACUGGGGGACUUGAGUGCAGAAGAGGAAAGCGGAAUUCCACGUGUAGCGGUGAAAUGCGUAGAGAUGUGGAGGAACACCAGUGGCGAAGGCGGCUUUCUGGUCUGUAACUGACGCUGAGGCGCGAAAGCGUGGGGAGCAAACAGG
This 253-nucleotide ribosomal RNA is filed under the name uncultured bacterium. Its description in RNAcentral is "partial 16S ribosomal RNA". It matches the Rfam family "Bacterial small subunit ribosomal RNA", at positions 524 to 776 of the family's 1533-position model. The record is from RNAcentral.